RNAcentral lists this ribosomal RNA (489 nucleotides) under uncultured bacterium. Its description in RNAcentral is "partial 16S ribosomal RNA". It matches the Rfam family "Bacterial small subunit ribosomal RNA", at positions 30 to 507 of the family's 1533-position model. The record is from RNAcentral.
UUGCACGCUGGCGGCAGGCCUAACACCUGCAAGUCGAACGGUAACAGGAAGAAGCUUGCUUCUUUGCUGACGAGUGGCGGACGGGUGAGUAAUGUCUGGGAAACUGCCUGAUGGAGGGGGAUAACUACUGGAAACGGUAGCUAAUACCGCAUAACGUCGCAAGACCAAAGAGGGGGACCUUCGGGCCUCUUGCCAUCGGAUGUGCCCAGAUGGGAUUAGCUAGUAGGUGGGGUAACGGCUCACCUAGGCGACGAUCCCUAGCUGGUCUGAGAGGAUGACCAGCCACACUGGAACUGAGACACGGUCCAGACUCCUACGGGAGGCAGCAGUGGGGAAUAUUGCACAAUGGGCGCAAGCCUGAUGCAGCCAUGCCGCGUGUAUGAAGAAGGCCUUCGGGUUGUAAAGUACUUUCAGCGGGGAGGAAGGGAGUAAAGUUAAUACCUUUGCUCAUUGACGUUACCCGCAGAAGAAGCACCGGCUAACUCCGUG